This 700-nucleotide long non-coding RNA is filed under the name Gossypium raimondii (Peruvian cotton). RNAcentral's name for it is "long non-coding RNA (GRAI_LNC001902)". The record is from RNAcentral. Lineage: Eukaryota; Viridiplantae; Streptophyta; Magnoliopsida; Malvales; Malvaceae.
CAUAAUUUUUGAAGCUUUGCAUUUAAAAAAUUUCCUAAAACAAACGACAUUCAAGUAUGUACCACGGAAAACAACAAUCCUACAACACCUAGUUCGCUAGAAGAAGGUCGUGAACCUCACAUCCUUCACCUAUCCAAAAUGCAUACGAUUAACAUUGGAAAAAAAUAAAAAAAUACCCAAAAUCUUCCAACAUGUUCAUAACAUAAAAUCUAUUAAACUUAUUGUUGAAAAACACACCUACUUACCUAAACCGAGUCAACAACACAACUCUUUCAAACACGUCACUGUAGCAACAAAAGAAAUAACGCAACCCAAACUAAAGAUAAUGACAGAUGAAAUUGAAAAGCAAAAUAAAGCAGAAAAAAGAAACAAAAAGAACAAAGGGAAAAAGGUAACAAAAGAGAAAGAAACAUGCGUUGAAAAGAAAGGGAAUAAAAAUAAUAACACAAACAGAAUAAUGGACAGUAGUGGGGGAGUGGUUUUAAGAGAGAAAGUAUUUAAAAUAAAAUAAAAUGAAAAAAAAGGAAAAGGUUAUUAUUCUAACUAACUAAAAUCCAACCAAUUUUAAUACCCUAUAUUUAUCCAGCCACUAGAGUUUGAAUCCCACCAACAAACUACUACCAUGGGUGAUACAACAGAUAAAAUAACAAAAGAAAAAUUUCCAUUAAGCAUACGGGGACUCAAACACAGAACCUUAAAC